RNAcentral lists this transfer RNA (93 nucleotides) under Macrosiphoniella sanborni. RNAcentral describes it as "tRNA-Val". Lineage: Eukaryota; Metazoa; Arthropoda; Insecta; Hemiptera; Aphididae. The record is from RNAcentral.
UAAAUAUCUAAAUUUAAGUAUAUCAUUUACAAUGAUAAGAUGUUGUAAAACUUUAUUUAAGUUAAAAUUAUUAAUAUUAUAUAUAUAUAUAUA